RNAcentral lists this ribosomal RNA (253 nucleotides) under uncultured bacterium. Its description in RNAcentral is "partial 16S ribosomal RNA". It matches the Rfam family "Bacterial small subunit ribosomal RNA", at positions 524 to 776 of the family's 1533-position model. The record is from RNAcentral.
GACGGAGGCUGCCAGCGUUAUCCGGAAUUAUUGGGCGUAAAGGGUACGUAGGCGGCUGGUCAAGUCUGGGGUCAAAGGCCACAGCUCAACUGUGGGAAGGCCCUGGAAACUGACCGGCUAGAGUGAGGUAGGGGUUGCGGGAAUUCCCGGUGUAGCGGUGAAAUGCGGAGAGAUCGGGAAGAGCACCUGAGGCGGAAGCGCGCAACUGGGCCGCCACUGACGCUGAGGUACGAAAGCUAGGGGAGGGAAUGGG